UACGAAGGGGGCUAGCGUUGCUCGGAAUCACUGGGCGUAAAGCGCACGUAGGCGGAUCUUUAAGUCAGGGGGUGAAAUCCCGGAGCUCAACUCCGGAACUGCCAUUGAAACUGUAAGACUUGAGGAUGAGAGAGGUGAGUGGAAUUCCCAGUGUAGAGGUGAAAUUCGUAGAUAUUGGGAAGAACACCGGUGGCGAAGGCGGCUCACUGGCUCAUAUCUGACGCUCAGGCGCGACAGCGUGGGGAUCAAACAGG
RNAcentral lists this ribosomal RNA (254 nucleotides) under uncultured bacterium. Its description in RNAcentral is "partial 16S ribosomal RNA". It matches the Rfam family "Bacterial small subunit ribosomal RNA", at positions 524 to 776 of the family's 1533-position model. The record is from RNAcentral.